Ameiurus melas (black bullhead) is the source of this 74-nucleotide non-coding RNA. The record is from the annotation of a GenBank genome assembly. Lineage: Eukaryota; Metazoa; Chordata; Actinopteri; Siluriformes; Ictaluridae.
GGCAGUGGUGGAUUAGCGGUUAAGGUUCGGGGUUACUGAUCAGAAGGUCGGGGGUUCAAGUCCCAGCACUGCCA